GCAGGCUGNAACCCGCCUGCAUGAAGUUGGAAUCGCUAGUAAUCGCGGAUCAGCAUGCCGCGGUGAAUACGUUCCCGGGCCUUGUACACACCGCCCGUCACACCAUGAGAGUCGGGAACACCCGAAGUCCGUAGCCUAACAGCAAUGGGGCGCGGCCGAAGGUGGGUUCGAUAAUUGGGUGAAGUCGUAACAAGGUAUC
This 199-nucleotide ribosomal RNA is filed under the name uncultured bacterium. Its description in RNAcentral is "partial 16S ribosomal RNA". It matches the Rfam family "Bacterial small subunit ribosomal RNA", at positions 1300 to 1500 of the family's 1533-position model. The record is from RNAcentral.